This 838-nucleotide ribosomal RNA is filed under the name Aureobasidium pullulans. RNAcentral describes it as "partial large subunit ribosomal RNA". It matches the Rfam family "Eukaryotic large subunit ribosomal RNA", at positions 75 to 931 of the family's 3401-position model. The record is from RNAcentral. Lineage: Eukaryota; Fungi; Ascomycota; Dothideomycetes; Dothideales; Saccotheciaceae.
UUGCCCUAGUAACGGCGAGUGAAGCGGCAACAGCUCAAAUUUGAAAGCUAGCCUUCGGGUUCGCAUUGUAAUUUGUAGAGGAUGAUUUGGGGAAGCCGCCUGUCUAAGUUCCUUGGAACAGGACGUCAUAGAGGGUGAGAAUCCCGUAUGUGACAGGAAAUGGCACCCUAUGUAAAUCUCCUUCGACGAGUCGAGUUGUUUGGGAAUGCAGCUCUAAAUGGGAGGUAAAUUUCUUCUAAAGCUAAAUAUUGGCGAGAGACCGAUAGCGCACAAGUAGAGUGAUCGAAAGAUGAAAAGCACUUUGGAAAGAGAGUUAAAAAGCACGUGAAAUUGUUGAAAGGGAAGCGCUUGCAAUCAGACUUGUUUAAACUGUUCGGCCGGUCUUCUGACCGGUUUACUCAGUUUGGACAGGCCAGCAUCAGUUUCGGCGGCCGGAUAAAGGCUCUGGGAAUGUGGCCUCCACUUCGGUGGAGGUGUUAUAGCCCAGGGUGUAAUACGGCCAGCCGGGACUGAGGUCCGCGCUUCGGCUAGGAUGCUGGCGUAAUGGUUGUAAGCGACCCGUCUUGAAACACGGACCAAGGAGUCUAACAUCUAUGCGAGUGUUCGGGUGUCAAACCCCUGCGCGUAAUGAAAGUGAACGGAGGUGGGAACCCGCAAGGGUGCACCAUCGACCGAUCCUGAUGUCUUCGGAUGGAUUUGAGUAAGAGCAUAGCUGUUGGGACCCGAAAGAUGGUGAACUAUGCCUGAAUAGGGUGAAGCCAGAGGAAACUCUGGUGGAGGCUCGCAGCGGUUCUGACGUGCAAAUCGAUCGUCAAAUUUGGGUAUAGGGGCGAAAGAA